CCGUAGCCCAAGAGAUCGGGAUAACACCUGGAAACAGAUGCUAAUACCGGAUAACAACAGAUGAUGCCUAUCAACUGUUUAAAAGAUGGUUCUGCUAUCACUCUUGGAUGGACCUGCGGUGCAUUAGCUAGUUGGUAGGGUAACGGCCUACCAAGGCGAUGAUGCAUAGCCGAGUUGAGAGACUGAUCGGCCACAUUGGGACUGAGACACGGCCCAAACUCCUACGGGAGGCAGCAGAC
Molecule: ribosomal RNA, 239 nt
Filed under: uncultured Lactobacillus sp.
Lineage: Bacteria; Bacillati; Bacillota; Bacilli; Lactobacillales; Lactobacillaceae
Description: partial 16S ribosomal RNA
Rfam family: Bacterial small subunit ribosomal RNA
Source: RNAcentral